GGAGCAAGUAGCAGCUAUCCCUGCUGUUAAUUAGAAGAAGGUGAGAAGUUCCAGGGAUUUCUUACAAAGUAGAACAUUUUAAAGGCUGUGACAUAUAGCUGACGAUGGGUGGAAUAUUAAUGUUGCAGUUUGUGUUCUGAAUUCGAUGUUCCAAGGUGGUGGGAAAUGUCAGGAGAAUGUGACGGGAAUUUCUCUGCAUUAAAGAAAAUC
This is a non-coding RNA of Pelobates cultripes (western spadefoot toad), 210 nucleotides long. The record is from the annotation of a GenBank genome assembly. Lineage: Eukaryota; Metazoa; Chordata; Amphibia; Anura; Pelobatidae.